Molecule: ribosomal RNA, 253 nt
Filed under: uncultured bacterium
Lineage: Bacteria
Description: partial 16S ribosomal RNA
Rfam family: Bacterial small subunit ribosomal RNA
Source: RNAcentral
UACGUAGGGUGCAAGCGUUGUCCGGAAUUAUUGGGCGUAAAGAGCUCGUAGGCGGUUUGUCGCGUCUGCCGUGAAAGUCCGGGGCUCAACCUCGGACUUGCAGUGGGUACGGGCAGACUAGAGUGUGGUAGGGGAGACUGGAAUUCCUGGUGUAGCGGUGGAAUGCGCAGAUAUCAGGAGGAACACCGAUGGCGAAGGCAGGUCUCUGGGCCAUUACUGACACUGAGAAGCGAAAGCAUGGGGAGCGAACAGG